This 388-nucleotide long non-coding RNA is filed under the name Homo sapiens (human). RNAcentral's name for it is "non-protein coding lnc-EML5-3:2". The record is from RNAcentral. Lineage: Eukaryota; Metazoa; Chordata; Mammalia; Primates; Hominidae.
GCAGUGCUGCUCUGUUUGGCUCUCUUCUUAUGUGUGAAGGUUGCCCUCUUGCUAGUUAAAACCAGAAAGCUUAAGAGUCCCUCUCUAACUGCAGAGAACGUGGCUGAUGGCAAGUGUGGGGAAGUGUGGCGCCAAUGUCCCUCAUCCUGAGAGCCUCAGGGGUGGGUAUUCUCUCAUCUAAAAGAUAAAUACGUAACUGGCCUAACCUGCAAGGAUGAUGCUAGAGGCCUGGGCCUUGUCUGGAGAGAGCCACAAAUCCGAGGAAGAAGUUGACUUUCAACGUCCAGCCCUUUUGAUGUCUUACAUAGCUGGAGGCCAGUGCACUUCAGUACAUCAGUUCCUCCAGGAGUGAUCCAAAAUGGAGCGCGGGUCCUGAGCCGAGGGCUGU